CCCGUCCUGUUUGAAGGCCCGCGGGUGGCGGCGGCAAGCCAGGGUGGGCGUGUUUUCCUCGGUUUCUUUUCCCACGUGGGGGACAGCCGAGACUUCUUCGGCUCUGAUAACUUCGUGGGUUAGUCAGCUCCACAUCCACCAUUUCAUCUGAACCGUACAGUUAAGAGGAUUCAUUUUCCUGGAUUAGAGAGGUCAACCAAUGCCCACCGAAAGAAAGUGGCCAAAUCCUUGUGCUUUGGGAAAGCCACAGAUCCUAAAUUUGAACCCCCGAGUGCUGCCUCCGCGGCUCGUGGGUGUGGGAAGGUCCUGGGUUUCAGUGGGGAGGCCAGAAUCACUCCUGACCCCAAAUGGUGUGGGCAUCCCUGAGGGUUUGAGUUUUGAGCACGCUGCCUGUGGCCUCCAGGGACUCAGGCCUUCUGAAGCGUUGAACAGACGCAGUAGAAAGUUCUGCUCAUACUGAGUCUGGAGUCCAAGGAGGAAGACGCAGUAAAAGUUCUGCUCAUACUGGGUCUGGAGUCCAAGGAGGAACGGGAAGACAAGGAGACUGGGGCUUGCUCAAGGCCCAUUCAGCAGAUCAGUGAGUUCUAAGAAGUAUGCGAGCAUCAAAGAAAACACCAACUGAGCUCAGCCCCUCGCCCUGGAGGAUCUUACAGGAUAGACUGCGGGAUCCAGGAUACCAUAUUACAUUGAAUUGUCGUGUGUGCCUCGUGCCCCCAGGCCGUGACAGCUUCUCGUACUUUCCGUGUUUUGACGACUCUGACAGUUUCCAGGAGUGCUGGUUUCAGUUACCCGAGGUCAAACCACGACGGUCCAGAAGCGGAUGAUCGACCUCCUGCCAUGUCGUCACUACGUCAAAACACCUGUGUCACUUCAUCUCAUCACGUGGGCAUUUUAACAUCUCACGUCAUCACAAGAAGACACAGGGUCCCCCCAGCUGAGACCUCAGAUAUCCGGGAACAGAGAAAAACCAUCCUGGCUCUGCCCUUUUGGAGUCCCUGGCCCACGGAAUCCGUCAGCAUCCUAGUUGUUGCUUGGCGCCUCUAAGUUUCAGAGUGGUAUACCAUGCUGCAGUAGAUAACCAUAGCAACUGACUGGUGCACCUGCCUUCUCCAGCUAGAUCAUGAACUCUUUGAGGUCAAGACUGAGUCAAAUUCAUCUUUCAAUCCUUGUUCCCAGCACAGGGCUGACUCAGGAUAGGCUCUGAACCAUAAAGGAGAUCAGCGGUGUCAGAGAGCUGUGAAAUCUUAUCACCAGGCUGAGACCAGAUGGUUGGGAUCACAUGACGAGUUCUGGCCAAUGGCCCGCAAGUGGCAGAGUCCAGCGCCACUUUUGGGCUGGGACAGAUAAGUGCUGGUGGUCCUCUUUCCGCCUCUCUUUUGCUUGGGGGCCAUAUGUUCCAGAAAUCAGAGCCGUAGGGCCGGCCAGACUUUGCAUGAGUGAGACAGAAUCGUAUCGUGUUAGGGCACCGAGAGAUCAUGGCUUACUUGCUCUGUAGCACGGUGUAGGCUGUUCUGACUGUUGCUCACCCUGGGUUUAAUGCUAUCUUUGAAGAACUCUUUCUCAGUUAUCGGACUACCAGAAUCACACCCGCUUCCCAGCUGGGGCCCUUUUGUUCUUCUUCCUCUCUCUUUUACUCCCUCCUCUUCCUCAAUUCCUCAUACAUCCCACUAACGACCUGGCUCUGAUUACUCACUGUCACUCUGGGCUUUACUUGCAGACUUGUAGACUCUUAUGCUUCAAAGAGGCCUCUGUAUUAUUUAAGUCAGGCCAGCUCCCCAGUAGGAGUCACCUCUCCACACCUCCGAUAGCGUCUACUUGCAUACCUGCUGGGACAGGAAGCUCACUUCCUCUCACACUGGUUCCUUCCCUCCUCGAGGAGCUUCUUGGGAUUCAUCAGACCACACUUGUACCUCUGGCCAUUGCUACUUGUCCCCACUGGAGUCCCACAGAAUUGCUGUCCCUGGCCCAGGACAGCCUUUCAGAAGCCCAGGGCCCCUCAAGAUUUCUCUUUUCCAGCCGGUCUCUUUCAGGGGGCGAGGAAGACACAUGUCCCGUGGGGGCUCCUGGCAAGGUGAUCUGUGGUAGGAAUGGGUCUCAGUCCAAGACUCGGGUGUGCAAGAAAUGCUACUUUCUUUAUUCAUUCGCUUUGUCUUAAUUUGUCAUUUGAGCUCCAUUCUUCCGGGGGGGUGGGAAACAAGUCUCAGCCAAUUUAGCUUCGCUUUUUUUGCCUUGGGGGUCCCUUUAAGUUCUGUGAUCCCCUUGAGGGGAUCAAGGGGUUGGAGAAGGAAACUCAUCAUCUGCUGAGAUUCCCCAGAAGUCCUUGGAGGGCAGGCCAUACGUGCUGCCGAGGGGCGCCCGUGAGCCUUUCUAAGGCUUCCCAAGGUCCUUCCCCGAUGCCCUCACUGCUCCAGGUGCCUGGGACCCAUCUGCUGCUGCUCUCUGGGCUUGUAUGUGGAGGGUUCCGCGAACCUUUCUCAGCCUGGACGCCCCACCGAGCCAGGCCCUCAGAAUCUGCCCAGGAAUGGUGGUGUCAGCUAGGAUGCAAUGGGAGGCCCUCAGUCGGAGGGACUUUUUCGCCGAUUUGUGAACAUAUAGUGUAUACACUAGCAUGUUGACAUGCGAGGCGUGCACAGUUGAACCAAGGUGCCUAAGUCAUAGACUAUGUAUAAGUUCCUUAAUGUGUAUGAAAGCUCCCUGCUCCCACCCCCUAAUCCACUGCAGAAAAGCUUCCUGUACUAACCGUACGGGAAGGUGGUGCUUGGAGAUCUAUCUCCCUGUCUCUUUACUUGUCACAAGCAAAAAAGGGUUCUUUGCUUCCAACACUUUCUCAGUUUGUGUUCAAUUUAAUGUGCUCCAAAUGGUGAACCCCUUGAGUCUGGUUACAGAGGAACAGAUCUGCCUAUUCCCCCCUUCCAGCUUGGGGCUCAGCCAGGGCCCCUUUCUAGGGGACACAGCGACAUCACACAUUCUCUUUGCGUCCUGUCUAAUUCUUCGUCCCCAGUCACGGUGCAGGGGACAAGGCAGUACCAGAAACCCUACAUACCUGGUCUCGCCCAUCCUCACAAUGACCCCUCUUUUCAGUUGAUAGUGAAACUGAGGGCCAGGGAAGUGAAGGGUAGAGCAGAGCCAGGAUCCAAACCCAGAUGUGUCUGACUCCAGAGUUGAGACUUCUGUCGAUAUCCAGCUACUUCUCCAGGUAGCACGCCUGGGAAUAUUACCAUGCUGCCUGAGUUCUGGGGCCCUGAGAGGACUCAUGGAGAGCUUUGAGGCAAUAAAGCCACGAUCAUGUCCUUUAAGAGACACUCAAGUGCUCCCUCUGCCUUCAAGGGCUUCAGAGCGAGUGUCCUCAGUCCCUCCUUCUAAGUGAACAGACAGCUCUUGUAUUCCAUAAACAUUUACCGAGUUUCUCCUAAGUUCCAGGCAUGGCAGGAGGCGCCCAAGGUACAGCAGGGAACAACAACAACAAAAACAAAACCCUGCCCUUUGCACAGCUAACAUGUCUAUAGGCAGAAAUAGAUAGAACUCCCAAGUGUUCAAAUACAUGAAGGGACUGUUAAAAAAAAAACAACAACAAAAUUCAAUGGAGUAAAUGUGAAGAUCUAAUUGGCUUUAUGAAAGGAUUCAUGAAUCUGGGAGGUAUCCCAUCUAGCAAGUGGAGGGGAGCCAGGGAUACAUUGUUUAGGCAAGGCUGCUCUCCUAAGGAGAGCCUCUCAGUAAAUUUUAGUAUUGAUCCAGAAAUUCCGUGUUGUCUGGUUGAAGGUUACAUUCCUGGCAGGUUGAACGUGCAGUUAGGUUAAGUAUUAAGUCUUGGUUUGCCCCGAUGGCUUACACGAUAUCCUUUUGGGGCUGUGGUGUUCUUUUUAACAGGACUAAUUUUGGAUUGAUGCAAGUCCACUGAAGGAAAUUAAUUAGGGUGUGUGAUAUUAUACCAUAUAUAUUUGGUCUUUGACCCCAGUUCCUAGCACAGAGCUCUUAAAACCCUUAUAAUUAACUGAGUGAUGGGGUAAUAGGAGUAUCAUUUGUUUUAACAUUUGGUCUUUGUCCCUAGUUCCUGCUCUAAGAACUUCAAAGACCCUUGGAAUCUCUGGAGCGUUAAGAGUAUCUUUUGUAUGCUAAUGAAUGGCUGGAGGGGAGAUCUCCCCAGCCGCCCCCCCCCCCAGCUUCAGAAUGGGGGCAGGUCACCAGCAAAAGCAAGGCCUGACUAGAGCUUUUGGAACUUUCAGCCCCACCCCCUGACCUCCCAAGAGAAGGGAAGGACUGGAGAUGGAGUUCAAUCACCAAUUGCUAAUGAUAGAAUCAAUCCUGCCUGUGUAAUGGAACCUCCAUAAAACCCCUCAACAAUGGGGUCUGGAGAGCUUCCAGGUUGGGGAGCGCAUCAGGGUGCUGGGAGAGGGGAUGUGCCUAAAGAGGGCUCAGGAUCUCCAUGCAUUGCGCGCCCCCCCCCCCAUUCCUCCUGCUAUGUAUCUCUUCCCUCUGGCUGUUCUGGAAUUGUAUCCUUUUAUAAGAAACCAGUAAUCGACCAAGGAAACUGUUUUCCAGAGUUCUGUGAGUCAUUCUAGCAAAUGAUCAAACCUGAGGAGGGGGUUGUGGGAACCCCUGACUUAUAGCCCACCUGUCAGAAGUACAGGGGGCCUGGGACUUGUGAUUGGCAUCUGAAGUGGGGGUGUCUUGCGGGACCAAGCCCUUAGCCUGGUUAGGGUUAAGUGAGUGCGCUAACCAUGGGUGGUUGGCAUCAGAAUUGGACUGAAUUGUGGGACCCCCAGAUGGUGUCUGGAGAGUUGGAGAAUUGGUUGUUGGUGUGGAAGACACGCCACACGUCUUGGUGUCCAAAGCAUUUGGAGUGAACAAGGGUGUGUGUGACAGGUGGUUAGGGAAAGCCUCCCUCCACAGUGACAUUUGGGCUGAGACCAGCUGUGCAAAAAAUCCGGGCACAGUGUCCCAGGCUGGAUGGAAGAGCAAGCACCGUGGCUCUGAGGAGGCCACAAGCUGGGCGUGCGGGAGGGACAGAAAGAAGCCAGGUGUGGCCAGAGGGUGGUGCAGAGUAAGGAAAGGAUGGAGGGCCUCAGGGGCUCGAUCACGGGGGUCUUAGUAUUAGUCACUGUCCAGACAGGUAACAGGAGGCACACUCAGGGGAUGUAAUAUAGGGACUGGUUCUAGAGGUCUGGGUAGGGUUGAAGGAUAUUAACACAAAGUGACAAACACCCUGGGAUCAGCAGCCAUGGCAUCCUGGUGGCCACCCCUCGUACUCAGGAGGCCAGGGAGGAGCAGUUAGGGGAACCCGGGCAUUGUUAUACCUACAGGGGCCACCUGCAGCUUCCAUCAGAGGGAUCUGGCCUCUGCUGACACUCUCUCUCCUCCUGCCCCCUGGUCUGCUGGCAUCCCCUAGUGGCCAAAUCCCCCAGAAACCAGAGGGCAAAGGUGAUGCAGUCCCUUCAGGUCUGCUUCUGGGCAUCAAACAGGUGGACAAGAGUGAUCUUGAGGACAAACACAGAAUUCCCAGCACAGCAAUGGAAGUCUAUUAUUCUGAGUUCAAGGAGAAGCAACUAGGGGGUCUAAAACUGGAGAGGGACCUGAUUUGGAAGUCCACGGGCCUCUCUGGCUGCUCUCUGGGGAGUGGGUGUAGUGGGGAGGGGCAGGGCAGGGCCGGGAGAGCAGUUUGGAGGCUGUUCUAGUUGUCCACGUGGGGGAAGAUGGUGGCUGGGACCAGGGAGGGUGCAGGGAGGGCAGACAGAAAAGCCCGGGCUCAGUGUUAUAUUCUGACCUGACAUGGAUGGGAAUUGCUGGUGGAUUGGAUGGGGGACGGGGGACGGCCACGUAAGGAAGGAGCCCAAGGAAAGAGAAUAAUGGGCGACUUAAAGUUAAGGCAGUGAAUAGCUAUGUAUGUGUGUGAUACCCUCCAGACUUGUCCCCUUUGCCCACCCUCACCACUUCUUAGGGAAAGGAGACUUGGAUGGCAUCCUUAGGAGAACUCUAUGUGGCAGGUGUUUUUAUCACAAGUGAUGAAUUCACACACCAGAGAGGUUAAGACUUCUGCCCAAGAUCACACAGCAAGUAGGUGCAGAUGGGGAUUUGGACCUGGUCUGUCUGAUUCUCAAAUACCCUGAGCAGAAGGACUUUGAUGGGGGCUCUUGCUUUACACGUUAGCCACAAGCUGGGGCUUAUGCUGCCUGGUGAGAUCUGCCCUUGAGACAGGCUACAAGCACAUCACCAACAUGGCCAGCUGUAGCAUGCACGGAUUUGGGCAUAGAAGCAGCCCCAGCCGAACUUACUUGUUUUUUUUUUUUUUAAACUACUAUUAUUACAGAAUUGGGGAACAAGGAAGAAAACUAACAUUUAUAAAGCUCAUUCAUUCAUUUAUUCAUCCUCUAAUUUAAAAAAAUCUGUUCCUGAAUUUCAGGCUUCUUGCUGGACAGGUUACUUGGAUGAUCUCAUUUGAUCCCAAAAAUGAACAACCCAGCCAAGGUGAGCAUUCUGCUUCACCCCUGUUUUGCGGGGCUCAGGAAAUGGAGGCGCAGAGAGGGGAGUGACUUGCUCAAGUGACACGGUUGCCUGAUAACUUCUGGCAAGAUUUAAAAGAGAAGUGCCGGCAUCAAAACUUGAAGAGUGAGUGUCUACUUGAAACAAAAUCUCUGGGACAAGGUGGCAUGCUCUUUUAAGAAGUGUCACACCACCUACACUCUUGAUGUCCCAGAAGAGGAUAUUGUGUGAAAAACGCAAACAUCAAGGACUCUGAGAUGACAAGAAAUUCACAAGUGUUGAACUCUGAAUGAGAGGAGGUUUUAGGCUAACUUGACCAAUUUAUUUUGCUGAGAUUUUCCAUUUUAUAUGUGCAUAGUGGCGAUAGAGGAUAAAAAUCUAUGUCUAAAUAAGUCUAAAUGAGCCCUUUCAAUAGAUAUAAAAUAAAAAUUCAAAGUGAUA
This is a long non-coding RNA of Ailuropoda melanoleuca (giant panda), 6918 nucleotides long. RefSeq lists it as uncharacterized. The record is from RefSeq and is a predicted model, not a curated record. Lineage: Eukaryota; Metazoa; Chordata; Mammalia; Carnivora; Ursidae. The transcript is spliced from 7 exons.